GACGAACGCUUGCGGCGUGCUUAACACAUGCAAGUCUAACGGUUAGGCCUCUUUUGCGGGGUACUCCGGUGGCUUACGGGUUCUUAACCCGUGAGUAGCCUGCCCUUGCCCUUCGGAUACCUUCACGAAACUUGGGCUAUUCCCCGCUAGGCGCUCCUGCUCCAUGGUGGGGGUUGGUCAUUUUCGCCGGUUGGGGAUGGCCUCGCGGCUUAUCAGCGUGUUGGUGGGGGAGUUGCUUACCAAGGCUCUGACGGGUAGCCGGCCGGAGAGGGUGACCGGCCAGAGUGAGAGUGAGAUACGGCCCAGACUCCUACGGGAGGCAGCAGUGGGGAAUAGGGAACAAUGGGUGGAAGAGUGACGCAGCAUCGCUGCGUGCGGGAUGAAGGACCGAGGGGUGGAAAACGCCUUCGUCCAAGACGAAGUGUGGUGUGACGGGAGUGGGUAAAGAAGCACAGGCAAACUACGUG
This 467-nucleotide ribosomal RNA is filed under the name uncultured bacterium. Its description in RNAcentral is "partial 16S ribosomal RNA". It matches the Rfam family "Bacterial small subunit ribosomal RNA", at positions 28 to 507 of the family's 1533-position model. The record is from RNAcentral.